CGUAUCGUGCCAUUUUAACCUCUGCAUUGGAAUUCUUACAAAAAAAUCAAAUGUACAAAGAAACAAAUUGUGUUAAAAUGAAAACAAGCAAAAACAUGGUAUUUGUUUGAUCUCCAUGCCUGUACCUCCAAAGGCAUUAUAAAAUUUUCUCAGAUAUUUGUAUUUGUUUGUCUAUUUAUGUACAAAUUGUCUGCAUUAUUAUAACAGUGGUUUUUCAACCAAUGUUAGUUAUACGGAUAGAAGAUACACAUCCUGUGAUUUUCAUGGAAUUAUAAUUUAAGAAUUUUUGGAAUAAGAAAAAUUCAUUAAAUUACUAAAGUGUUGUGAGCGACCAAAUACAAUAAUCAAAAACGAAAUCGUUUAAAUUUGUUGAUGAAAAAUCAAAUUAGAGGAGGAGGGGAAGGAAAACAACAAAGAUGGAUUUACUUCUACUCCUGUUAUCUUUAAUUUUAAUCUGUGUAAAUGCACUUAAAAUGUCCAGUGAAAAAAAAGAGUGUCCUGUAGCUGAUUGCAAACAAGCAUGGAGAAACUUUCGAACAGAUAUUGAAUAUAAAGAAAAUACCCAUAGUUUUAAUCCAAGUAACGCUACCUAUCUAGGAAAUCGCGUAAACAUGAGUGGUGCUAAUCUAAGUAAUUUUAUGUACCUUGGUCCUAGCAAUCUAUCCCAUAAGCUCUCGUGGCUAACUGAAGACCUCCUUAAAAAUGAUGAAGCGGAAUAUAUUACCGCAUUAGAUCUGAGCUAUACGUAUAUCAGUACUAUAUAUAAUGAUGUUUUUGCCCAAUUCCCUUGUUUGACUGAUUUAUAUUUGUACGGAAAUAACCUUACUAAACUCCAUGAAAAAUUGUUUACCGGCUUGGACAAUCUCAAAGUUUUGAAUUUAAGUAGUAAUAGAAUUGCGUCUAUCAACAAUUCAGAGACAUUUAGGCCUUUAAAUAAAUUAGAAAUUUUAGAUUUGUCUAAAAAUAAUUUGAUAAAAUUGAGACUUGAGAUGCUCCUUUAUUUAGGAAAUCUAAGACAGAUAUUUUUAAAGAGCAACAAAAUUAAUGAAAUAGUCCCAUUCAAUCCGAUCCCAGAUGAUUCUGAGAAGUCUAGGGUCUAUCAUAUUACUUAUCAAUUGAGAGAUCUUAAUUUAGAGUACAACCGCCUGGAAAGAAUCGACAUGGCAACAUUUUUCAGAUUUCACUUGUUAAAGCGGAUUAGUUUGAUUCGAAACAAUAUCUGUGACUUAAUUUUUUACGAUGGCAUUACCUUUCCCCAUGUAAUCUAUCUGAAUAUAACUCACAAUAGUUUACCUGGUUUUGAUGCAGAAGGCUUUAGAAAGACGUUUGAAAAUAAAGAUGUAUUGGUGGAUUUUAACGACAAUCCGAUUCUUUGUGCCUCUAGACAAAUCUUGUUACCGGCUCUGAAGAGGUUAGAUGUACGUAUACGAGAAUUUGAGGUAACUUCACGCCCGUAUAUGUUAUGUAAAAUUACAUAUGGGGAAAAUAAUACUCUUCAGUAUUUGAUGAAUGGAACCUACCAUAUUCCGCGUUCGGCGCAACUUCAGUUGUUUUCUACUGAUAUUACUAGGAGACUAAACAGACCGUAUAUCUCUGUAGAAAAUGGUAUUUUUUUGACAGCAGUUAUUUUUAUUAUCUUUGGUAUAACAUUUACAUUUUAUAUUUUAAGUGGCCAUAACAUUCCAAAGUGGUGCAAGCCCAAACCUGUCGUGAAAAUCCGAGGAGAUUUGUUAUUAGACUUAUGUCCCGAAGUUUUGCGGCCUCGUAGAUUAAAUGACCGGUCACGUAGAUUAAAUGACCGAUUAGGUCACGAUGACGUGCCAAUAUAAAAAAUUAUAUCAUUACUUUUUAACUUAUUACUAAUCCAAUUAAUUAAAAUAAUUUUCGAUUACUGAUGCGUUUUCGCGCAAUUCCUAUGUACAGUAAGUCUCCGAAUUGUCUUUAUAAGAAGAAAAACUUUUUUAUUAUUGACAAUUUCAGAAAAAUACUAAUUAAGGAAAACAUGAAAAUAUUGCUGAAUUUUUUCAAGUCCUAAAAGUCAAAACGCGUUUCUGUGGUAAUAUUUCUCCCAAUUUUUAUAAAAAAUAAUUAUCUUGAUUAAUUAAUUACUUAUGCUAUUCUUAUUUUAUUAAUUUGUCAAAUUUUGCCUACCCUGGCUUGAUUUGCACUGCAUGCCAAUGCCACAUUAACUGUCGUAAGACAAGUGCGUUGUUUUUCUUCUACUCAAAUUUUUAAUAAAUUUUAUAAUCAUAUAGAUAAUUAAUCCAAGUGUUUUAAACUCAUUAUUACAAAUAACCUGAAGUAGCAACACGCUUAAAUCCAUAUAUUUAACAUUAUUUAUGCUUUAAAAAGUAUUUUGAUUCUAUUUUGGUAUUGGUACAAGAAAAUAAUGAGCUAUUAUUAUAGAGAUUUCUUUCAAUUGGGUUUUUUGUUGACGUGUUAGUGAUUGUUUUUUACUUUAUUUAGGGUCAUAAUAAAACCCUUCAGAGUUUAGAUAUAUCCGUGAAUAUUGUGUACAUCGAUGAUGUUUCCUUUAAUUACCUGGUUAGUUUAAAGAGACUAGUUAGGUUAUAACUAUCUAACGUAUAUUUACCGAAACUAUAUUUUUCUUCAUUUGUCAAAAGUUUAAAUUUUUCAAGCAACUAUGUAUAUGGUUGCAUUUUGAUUUGAGGUAGGCAUAUUCGAGUUCGCUUUUUUGGGACUACUCCUUUGAAUUUUACAGGUUAUGAGGAUUUGAUUGAUUUUUUAUUUACCGAAACUAUAUUUUUCUUUAUUUGUCAAAAGUUUAAAUUUUUCAAGCAACUAUGUAUAUGGUUGCAUUUUGAUUUGAGGUAGGCAUAUUCGAGUUCGCUUUUUUGGGACUACUCCUUUGAAUUUUACAGGUUAUGAGGAUUUGGCAGAGAGGUUUAGGGAUAUUAGGUGCAGGUAUAUGGAUAUGACUUGGAUAUGACUGAGGAGGAAGUUAGACCUCUUAAUCCAACUUCACUAGAAGGUAUAUUAUAAUCGUAUUACCAUUAUUAUGACUCUAUUUAUUGUUGCGACUGUAAUAUUCACUUAUAUUCUAAUAUAUUGUGAUCAUCUCUUCCUCAUUUGAGAACCAGCACUGUCACGAGAGAAUAAUUAGGUUUAUUAUUUUCGUUGCAUACAAAAAAUAUUCGUGAAUAUUUUUAGUAGUGAGAAAAUCUUAAAUGAUAUAUUAGCUUUGUUCGGAAUCGGUGAAAAGAAAAACCCGAAGUAAGCUAUUUAUUUUGAAAGAAUAUCAGUUGACAAAAUAUGCACAUUACGCCGAGGAUUUGACAAAAUAUACCUUUGAUUGCACCCUUAGCUUUGUUUUAUUUUUUAUUCAAUAGAUACGGAAUAAACUAAAUUAACGAUUAUAAUUAAUGUUAAUAAAUAAUAUUAAUAUAAUAAACGUUCUUAUUUACUAAUAUAUUAUUAUGACUGUUAGCUAGAAAUAUAUCUACAAAUUAAAAUAGUAAAUUUGUAGACAUACUGUAGCAUAAUUAAAAUAUUAUAUUUUAUAGACUAAUACGUUUUUUUGUAAAUGUAUUUUAUUUUUAUACAAAUUCUU
RNAcentral lists this unclassified non-coding RNA (3571 nucleotides) under Sitophilus oryzae (rice weevil). Its description in RNAcentral is "toll-like receptor 6, transcript variant X3". Lineage: Eukaryota; Metazoa; Arthropoda; Insecta; Coleoptera; Curculionidae. The record is from RNAcentral.